AUUGAACGCUGGCGGCAUGCUUUACACAUGCAAGUCGAACGGCAGCACGGGGGCAGCCCUGGUGGCGAGUGGCGAACGGGUGAGUAAUACAUCGGAACGUGCCCGGUCGUGGGGGAUAACGUAGCGAAAGUUACGCUAAUACCGCAUACGAUCUGAGGAUGAAAGCGGGGGACCUUCGGGCCUCGCGCGAUCGGAGCGGCCGAUGUCAGAUUAGGUAGUUGGUGGGGUAAAGGCCUACCAAGCCGUCGAUCUGUAGCUGGUCUGAGAGGACGACCAGCCACACUGGGACUGAGACACGGCCCAGACUCCUACGGGAGGCAGCAGUGGGGAAUUUUGGACAAUGGGCGCAAGCCUGAUCCAGCCAUUCCGCGUGCAGGACGAAGGCCUUCGGGUUGUAAACUGCUUUUGUACGGAACGAAAAGGCUCUGGCUAAUACCUGGGGCUCAUGACGGUACCGUAAGAAUAAGCACCGGCUAACUACGUG
Molecule: ribosomal RNA, 484 nt
Filed under: uncultured bacterium
Lineage: Bacteria
Description: partial 16S ribosomal RNA
Rfam family: Bacterial small subunit ribosomal RNA
Source: RNAcentral